UACGAAGGGUGCAAACGUUGCUCGGAAUUAUUGGGCGUAAAGCGCACGUAGGCGGCUUAGCAAGUCGGAUGUGAAAGCCCUCGGCUUAACUGAGGAAGUGCACCCGAAACUGAGUAGCUAGAGUACGAAAGAGGGUCGCGGAAUUCCCGGUGUAGAGGUGAAAUUCGUAGAUAUCGGGAGGAACACCGGUGGCGAAGGCGGCGACCUGGGUCGAGACUGACGCUGAGGCGCGAAAGCGUGGGGAGCAAACAGG
This 253-nucleotide ribosomal RNA is filed under the name uncultured bacterium. RNAcentral's name for it is "partial 16S ribosomal RNA". It matches the Rfam family "Bacterial small subunit ribosomal RNA", at positions 524 to 776 of the family's 1533-position model. The record is from RNAcentral.